CAAAUUAGAGCUGGAAUAGAAUAGCAUUUCAUUUACAUUGAAUAGGUGUCGUGCAAAUCGAUUUAAUUUGA
This 71-nucleotide transfer RNA is filed under the name Nipponeurorthus fuscinervis. RNAcentral's name for it is "tRNA-Val". It matches the Rfam family "tRNA". From Rfam's summary of the family: Transfer RNA (tRNA) molecules are approximately 80 nucleotides in length. Their secondary structure includes four short double-helical elements and three loops (D, anti-codon, and T loops). Further hydrogen bonds mediate the characteristic L-shaped molecular structure. tRNAs have two regions of fundamental functional importance: the anti-codon, which is responsible for specific mRNA codon recognition, and the 3' end, to which the tRNAs corresponding amino acid is attached (by aminoacyl-tRNA synthetases). tRNAs cope with the degeneracy of the genetic code in two manners: having more than one tRNA (with a specific anti-codon) for a particular amino acid; and 'wobble' base-pairing, i.e. permitting non-standard base-pairing at the 3rd anti-codon position. Lineage: Eukaryota; Metazoa; Arthropoda; Insecta; Neuroptera; Nevrorthidae. The record is from RNAcentral.